This 83-nucleotide transfer RNA is filed under the name Schistocephalus solidus. It matches the Rfam family "tRNA". From Rfam's summary of the family: Transfer RNA (tRNA) molecules are approximately 80 nucleotides in length. Lineage: Eukaryota; Metazoa; Platyhelminthes; Cestoda; Diphyllobothriidea; Diphyllobothriidae. The record is from Rfam by way of RNAcentral.
GGCCUCAUAGCUCAGUUGGCUAGAGCGUUGUCUGUUAUAAAUCCUUUUCAUUGCUUGCGUGGCUUCGAAUCCCAUCGAGGCCG